This is a long non-coding RNA of Felis catus (domestic cat), 2581 nucleotides long. RefSeq lists it as uncharacterized. Lineage: Eukaryota; Metazoa; Chordata; Mammalia; Carnivora; Felidae. The transcript has 5 exons. The record is from RefSeq and is a predicted model, not a curated record.
UUCCGAGUUCCCUGACUCCAAGCAGUGUUCAGUGAGCUCUGGUUAGUGGCUCAGUAGGAAGCACAGGGUUGUAGAUGGGUCAUAGACUGGUGGGAACAUACACUUCUCUGCUAUAAGUUCAUGAUUUAUUUAGCUAAAAACAGAGCAUGUAAGGUAGCUGUUCAGUAGCAGUAGAUGCAACCUGUUUUUCUGUGGCUUUUCCUUCGCCCUUGGGUUUCCAACUAAGAGCACAGCAAAGUGAACUCAGGGAAUAUUUACCUCCAUUAGACACUCUUGGUUGUUGAGCCAAACUCAGCAUUAUCAAGAAUUCCUCCUCACCUAGAUGAGAAGACUAUGGCUCCAAGAUAAAGUGAAAGACCCAAAGUCACGUAGUUUGAAGGUGGAGGAGCCAGUAUCCAAAUCCAGUAUCAGCCGGAAGACUGCCCCUGCCUCUGCCCCAGGGCUAUGGGGAAUGGACUAGGAUGUCCUAAAACGUGCAACAUCUGCCUAAAUGAGGAGAGGGUACUCAGCGAAUAUGAAAUAUCUGAUGAGUCACUUAUCUGAUGAGUUAAGUGAACCCCACUCAUCCUGGAGUUUCUUAAGACAAAAUGGGGAAAUGCAAGAUUCAAAAACACAAAUAAUGAAUUUCAGGAGAGUCAAGGCAUUUCUUGCAAGAUAUAUGGCGAUGUUCUUCUAUGUCAGAUUAAAAUAGGACCUAAAAAGCACUGGUCUCAGUGAUACCUAUUUAUUUCAUUUUGCUCUGAAAUUUUCAGAAGCUAGAAAAAUACACACAAUUUGCACCUGAUCAAUGCUCUGCGAACUGCCUGCAGGAUUGUGUUCAUACCCCAGUAAGAUUUAUUGCUAACCAACAUGCCAUGCUAAAUUGAAAUCAAGAUAUUACACAAUUUUCCAAUAAAGAGGUAAUUUUAUAAGUUGGUAUAAAUGCUUUGUGAGGAUGUAAUUGUUGGCAUCUUGUUAUAUUUCAAUAGCUGGUGGAAAAUGAGAUAAGUUGGAAGGUUUACAGAGGGUCAGAGCUCAUUAGAUGAGAAGAUCAUCUUUUUUUUCAGCUCUAGAAAGCACAUUUAUAGGCUGAUAAACUGUUAUUCUUUAACAGUUGGAACAGUCAGUAUUUCCAAAACAUUCCAACUAAGUACAGCUACUGCAGAAGAUUCUACUAAAACACUAUGAAAUGAAAGGAAAAGAAUCCUUGGGGUUAACUGCCUUUAUGAAUCUUGAUUUGAUAUUUAUCUUUUCUGAGUUUUUACUAAGAACUGAAAAUACAACAUCCAUCUACCUGCAUAUUUUUCUUUUUUUCCACCUUUAUUGAGAUAUAAUUGACAUAACAUUGUAAGCAUGAUAAUCAUUCAUUUUAAAAUAAGUCAGUUUCUUUUUCAGCCUAUUUAGAUUUUUCUAAUUGAGGAUUCAAAUUUAAAUAAUAGACAUAAAAUUCUUCAGUUGUUACUUAGUAUUUAAAAUGUCACAAAAGAGCCUAUCUUAUUAAGUUGUCCUAUGCAUUCUGUGGGCAUUUAAAGACAGACCUUUCUCUCUACAACUUUAAAUGCACUUCUCAGGGAACAUUUGGAUAUCCAAACUCCUAUUGUUAAAAACUCUCAAGCUAUUAGUGCCAAAUCCAUCCUUCAAUUCAACUUGUGAGUAAAGAAACGCUAAGUGGAAGCAGGAGGCAAGUCCCUGUUCCUGCUCUCAUGGAAAUGAUUUAGGAUGUACCGUCAGACCUAGAGCUCAGGCCUCUUGACUCCCAGCCUUCAGCUAGCAUUACCCCCAUAAACUGUGAUUCAUUCUUUGCUAAGCAGACUUAGACCGUGUUAUAUCAUAGCCCCCAAACCUUCCAAGAUUUGCAACCUCCACUGUAAAAACUAAUUUAGGUGAGGAUACUGAAACCACUGUGUGACAGGCAGAAUAAUGCAUCCCCACCAACACCACCAGUGUCCACUUCCUAAUGCUAAGAACCUGUGAAUCUGUCACCUUAUAUGGCAAAGUGACCCUAUAGGUGUGAUUAAGUUAAGGACUUUGAGAUGGGGAGAUUAUCCAGGAUUAUCUAAGUGGCUCCAACCUAAUCACAUGAAUCCUUUAAAAGCUGUCCAGGCUGUGGUCAGAAUCAGAUGUGAUUACGGAAAAAUGGUCUGAGAGAUGCAGUACUGCUGGUUUUAAAGAUGAGGGAGGGAGCCAGAGCCAAGGAAUUUAGGCAGCACACAGAAGCUGGAAAAGGUGAUAAAACACAUUCUUCCCCUAGAGACUCCCCUGCCCACACUUUGAUUUUAACCCAAUGGGACCCAUGUUGGAUUUCUGACCUAUAGAACCAUAAGACAAUAAAUCUGCAUUGUUUUAAGACACUAAGUCCGUGGUAAUUUGUUGUAGCACUAAUAGGAAAUAAUAGACACAAAUGAAAAGUUAUUCACAUGGUCUAAGUAUCACUCUACAAAUUACUUACUAACUACAAAAAAGAAAACAUGUCAUUAUAAAGAUAGAUCUAACAGAUAAGCACCUUAACCAAAUGGCCAAAUAAGCACCACCAGUAAUGACACAAUCUAAAAGGAUAUUAUCUCCUGACAGGACAAGAGGAAAUACACAUCACUCCCACAAU